RNAcentral lists this ribosomal RNA (255 nucleotides) under uncultured bacterium. RNAcentral's name for it is "partial 16S ribosomal RNA". It matches the Rfam family "Bacterial small subunit ribosomal RNA", at positions 524 to 776 of the family's 1533-position model. The record is from RNAcentral.
UACGUAGGCAGCGAGCGUUGUUCGGAAUUACUGGGCGUAAAGAGUGUGUAGGCGGUGCUCCCAGUCUGUUGUGAAAUCUCCCGGCUUAACUGGGAGGGUGCAGCGGAAACUAGAGUGCUAGAGGGUGGGAGAGGUAAGCGGAAUUCCGUGGUGUAGCGGUGAAAUGCGUAGAUAUCAGGAGGAACACCUGUGGUGUAGACAGCUUACUGGACCACUUCUGACGCUGAGCACACGAAAGCGUGGGUAGCAAACAGG